RNAcentral lists this ribosomal RNA (301 nucleotides) under uncultured bacterium. RNAcentral's name for it is "partial 16S ribosomal RNA". It matches the Rfam family "Bacterial small subunit ribosomal RNA", at positions 509 to 807 of the family's 1533-position model. The record is from RNAcentral.
CAGUCGCCACGGGAAUACGUAGGGUGCAAGCGUUAAUCGGAAUUACUGGGCGUAAAGCGUGCGCAGGCGGUUUGUUAAGACAGAUGUGAAAUCCCCGGGCUCAACCUGGGAACUGCAUUUGUGACUGGCAAGCUAGAGUGUGGCAGAGGGGGGUGGAAUUCCGCGUGUAGCAGUGAAAUGCGUAGAUAUGCGGAGGAACUCCGAUGGCGAAGGCAGCCCCCUGGGCCAACACUGACGCUCACGCACGAAAGCGUGGGGAGCAAACAGGAUUAGAUACCCCAGUAGUCCCUGUCUCUUAUAC